This 641-nucleotide ribosomal RNA is filed under the name uncultured beta proteobacterium. Its description in RNAcentral is "bacterial SSU rRNA". It matches the Rfam family "Bacterial small subunit ribosomal RNA", at positions 8 to 651 of the family's 1533-position model. Lineage: Bacteria; Pseudomonadati; Pseudomonadota; Betaproteobacteria. The record is from RNAcentral.
AGAGUUUGAUCCUGGCUCAGAUUGAACGCUGGCGGCAUGCUUUACACAUGCAAGUCGAACGGUAACAGGUUAAGCUGACGAGUGGCGAACGGGUGAGUAAUGCAUCGGAACGUGCCCGGUCGUGGGGGAUAACGCAGCGAAAGCUGCGCUAAUACCGCAUACGAUCUGAGGAUGAAAGCGGGGGACCGUAAGGCCUCGCGCGAUCGGAGCGGCCGAUGUCAGAUUAGGUAGUUGGUGGGGUAAAGGCUCACCAAGCCGACGAUCUGUAGCUGGUCUGAGAGGACGACCAGCCACACUGGGACUGAGACACGGCCCAGACUCCUACGGGAGGCAGCAGUGGGGAAUUUUGGACAAUGGGCGCAAGCCUGACCCAGCAAUGCCGCGUGCAGGAAGAAGGCCUUCGGGUUGUAAACUGCUUUUGUACGGAGCGAAAAGGUCUUCCCUAAUACGGGAGGCUGAUGACGGUACCGUAAGAAUAAGCACCGGCUAACUACGUGCCAGCAGCCGCGGUAAUACGUAGGGUGCGAGCGUUAAUCGGAAUUACUGGGCGUAAAGCGUGCGCAGGCGGUUUUGUAAGACAGGCGUGAAAUCCCCGGGCUCAACCUGGGAAUGGCGCUUGUGACUGCAAAGCUGGAGUGCGG